This 220-nucleotide ribosomal RNA is filed under the name uncultured bacterium. RNAcentral describes it as "partial 16S ribosomal RNA". It matches the Rfam family "Bacterial small subunit ribosomal RNA", at positions 118 to 351 of the family's 1533-position model. The record is from RNAcentral.
UGGGAAUCUGCCCUUAGGUUCGGAAUAACAGUUAGAAAUGACUGCUAAUACCGGAUAAUGUCUUCGGACCAAAGAUUUAUUGCCUAAGGAUGAGCCCGCGUAAGAUUAGCUUGUUGGUGAGGUAAAGGCUCACCAAGACGACGAUCUUUAGCUGGUCUGAGAGGAUGAUCAGCCACACGUGGGACUGAGACACCGGCCCAGACCUCCGUACGGGAGGCAG